This 75-nucleotide transfer RNA is filed under the name Cryptomonas gyropyrenoidosa. Its description in RNAcentral is "tRNA-His". It matches the Rfam family "tRNA". From Rfam's summary of the family: Transfer RNA (tRNA) molecules are approximately 80 nucleotides in length. Lineage: Eukaryota; Cryptophyceae; Cryptomonadales; Cryptomonadaceae. The record is from RNAcentral.
GGCGAGUAUAUCUUAGUAGGUUAAAGAACUAGAUUGUGAUUCUAGGAAUCAUGAGUUCAAAUCUCAUUACUCGCC